This 497-nucleotide ribosomal RNA is filed under the name uncultured bacterium. RNAcentral's name for it is "partial 16S ribosomal RNA". It matches the Rfam family "Bacterial small subunit ribosomal RNA", at positions 28 to 507 of the family's 1533-position model. The record is from RNAcentral.
GACGAACGCUGGCGGCGUGCCUAAUACAUGCAAGUUGAGCGCUGAAGGUUGGUACUUGUACCAACUGGAUGAGCAGCGAACGGGUGAGUAACGCGUGGGGAAUCUGCCUUUGAGCGGGGGACAACAUUUGGAAACGAAUGCUAAUACCGCAUAAAAACUUUAAACACAAGUUUUAAGUUUGAAAGAUGCAAUUGCAUCACUCAAAGAUGAUCCCGCGUUGUAUUAGCUAGUUGGUGAGGUAAAGGCUCACCAAGGCGAUGAUACAUAGCCGACCUGUGAGGGUGACUGGCAACAGUGGGACUGAGAAACGGCCCAAACUCCUACGAGAGGCAGCAGUAGGGAAUCUUCGGAAGUGGAUGAAAAUCUGACCGAGCAACGCCGCGUGAGUGAAGAAGGUUUUCGGAUCGUAAAACUCUGUUGGUAGAGAAGAACGUUGGUGAGAGUGGAAAGCUCAUCAAGUGACGGUAACUACCCAGAAAGGGACGGCUAACUACGUG